UGGGGAAUUUUGGACAAUGGGCGCAAGCCUGAUCCAGCCAUGCCGCGUGCGGGAAGAAGGCCUUCGGGUUGUAAACCGCUUUUGUCAGGGAAGAAAUCUUCUGAGUUAAUACCUCGGGAGGAUGACGGUACCUGAAGAAUAAGCACCGGCUAACUACGUGCCAGCAGCCGCGGUAAUACGUAGGGUGCAAGCGUUAAUCGGAAUUACUGGGCGUAAAGCGUGCGCAGGCGGUUUUGUAAGACAGAGGUGAAAUCCCCGGGCUCAACCUGGGAACUGCCUUUGUGACUGCAAGGCUUGAGUGCGGCAGAGGGGGAUGGAAUUCCGCGUGUAGCAGUGAAAUGCGUAGAUAUGCGGAGGAAACACCGAUGGCGAAGGCAAUCCCCUGGGCCUGCACUGACGCUCAUGCACGAAAAGCGUGGGGAGCAAAACAGGAUUAGAUACCCUGGUAGUCCACGCCCUAAAACGAUGUCAACUGGUUGUUGGGAAGGUUCCUUCUCAGUAACGUAGCUAACGCGUGAAGUUGACCGCCUGGGGAGUACGGCCGCAAGGUU
RNAcentral lists this ribosomal RNA (551 nucleotides) under uncultured bacterium. RNAcentral's name for it is "partial 16S ribosomal RNA". It matches the Rfam family "Bacterial small subunit ribosomal RNA", at positions 355 to 895 of the family's 1533-position model. The record is from RNAcentral.